UAAUUCCGAAGUGAUGAUGCAAUUUAAC
This 28-nucleotide small RNA is filed under the name Bombyx mori (domestic silkworm). Its description in RNAcentral is "ovarian small RNA-19898". Lineage: Eukaryota; Metazoa; Arthropoda; Insecta; Lepidoptera; Bombycidae. The record is from RNAcentral.